CUACGGGGGGCAGCAGUGGGGAAUAUUGGGCAAUGGGCGCAAGCCUGACCCAGCAACGCCGCGUGAGGGAAGAAGGUUUUCGGAUUGUAAACCUCUGUCCUUGGGGACGAAGAAGUGACGGUACCCAAGGAGGAAGCUCCGGCUAACUACGUGCCAGCAGGCCGCGGAAAUACGUAGGGAGCAAGCGUUGUCCGGAAUUACUGGGCGUAAAGGGUGCGUAGGCGGCAUAUUAAGUCAGGUGUGAAAUACUCGGGCUCAACCCGGGGGCUGCAUUUGAAACUGAUAUGCUUGAGUGUGAGAGAGGAAAGUGGAAUUCCUAGUGUAGCGGUGGAAUGCGUAGAUAUUAGGAGGAACACCAGUGGCGAAGGCGACUUUCUGGCUCAUAACUGACGCCGAGGCACGAAAGCGUGGGGAGCAAACAGGAUUAGAUACCCGAGUAGUC
This 442-nucleotide ribosomal RNA is filed under the name uncultured bacterium. RNAcentral describes it as "partial 16S ribosomal RNA". It matches the Rfam family "Bacterial small subunit ribosomal RNA", at positions 339 to 795 of the family's 1533-position model. The record is from RNAcentral.